AGCGAACGCUGGCGGCAGGCCUAACACAUGCAAGUCGAACGAACCUUUCUGGGUUAGUGGCGGACGGGUGAGUAACACUUGGGAACGUGCCUUUAGGUUCGGAAUAACUCAGGGAAACUUGUGCUAAUACCGAAUGUGCCCUUCGGGGGAAAGAUUAAUCGCCUUUAGAGCGGCCCGCGUCUGAUUAGCUAGUUGGUUGAGGUAAUGGCUCACCAAGGCGACGAUCAGUAGCUGGUCUGAGAGGAUGAUCAGCCACAUUGGGACUGAGACACGGCCCAAACUCCUACGGGAGGCAGCAGUGGGGAAUCUUGCGCAAUGGGCGAAAGCCUGACGCAGCCAUGCCGCGUGAAUGAUGAAGGUCUUAGGAUUGUAAAAUUCUUUCACCGGGGACGAUAAUGACGGUACCCGGAGAAGAAGCCCCGGCUAACUUCGUG
RNAcentral lists this ribosomal RNA (434 nucleotides) under uncultured bacterium. Its description in RNAcentral is "partial 16S ribosomal RNA". It matches the Rfam family "Bacterial small subunit ribosomal RNA", at positions 29 to 507 of the family's 1533-position model. The record is from RNAcentral.